Paramuricea clavata is the source of this 349-nucleotide non-coding RNA. The record is from the annotation of a GenBank genome assembly. NCBI's taxonomy places the organism in Eukaryota, Metazoa, Cnidaria, Anthozoa, Malacalcyonacea, Plexauridae.
GUUGCUAUUUGUUUCACUUAAGGCGCGGACUAGCCUGACAUACCAGCGCGGUGUUCAUCGGGAUCGCAAUGCUAUUGUUGAUUCCUUAGUUGUUUCGAAUUUUUAGACGAGAAAGCACGCGUUGUGACACAAUUUCUGCAGUCCAGUUUGCCGGGCUGACCGCUAGCUAUCGCCUGUAUUCUGAAAGCUCAUGCACUCACACUCAAAGACUGGAGUUUUAAUCUGAGCUUCCAUUGAUUGUCAAUGCUGUUUUUGAAUAGCUGGAGGGUGAGUAUAGUCACAAAGUAAGGUACGACACUAAUCCUCUAACUAUUCAAAAAAACAGUACUGGCACUCAAGAAAAGCUCAG